This 206-nucleotide ribosomal RNA is filed under the name uncultured bacterium. RNAcentral's name for it is "partial 16S ribosomal RNA". It matches the Rfam family "Bacterial small subunit ribosomal RNA", at positions 568 to 774 of the family's 1533-position model. The record is from RNAcentral.
CGCGUAGGCUGUGCUGUAAGUCAGGCGUGAAAUCCCCGGGCUCAACCUGGGAAUUGCGCAUGAUACUGCGGCGCUUGAAGACGGGAGAGGAUGGCGGAAUUCCCAGUGUAGAGGUGAAAUUCGUAGAUAUUGGGAAGAACACCGGUGGCGAAGGCGGCCAUCUGGCCCGUAAUUGACGCUGAGGCGCGAAAGCGUGGGAGCAAACA